Long non-coding RNA from Cyprinus carpio (common carp), 451 nucleotides. RefSeq lists it as uncharacterized. The record is from RefSeq and is a predicted model, not a curated record. Lineage: Eukaryota; Metazoa; Chordata; Actinopteri; Cypriniformes; Cyprinidae. The transcript is spliced from 3 exons.
UACACUGUGUAUCCUCUGAGCUCGAGAGUGCGCCCCUGUAGCCCGGACCCGGUACUACACGUGCGUCAUCGAAAAUUUGCAUAUUUUACACUUGUGUAAGUUUGGAGGCCGCUGAUUGGCUAGAUUGGCACCGGUGGGCGGGAAAUCGCGAAAACAAAAUGGCGCCGGUGGGCGGGGCUACAUUCUGCCGCUAUGUAGCUUUGUACAACGAGUCGUGGGUGACGUUUUGUAACUUCCUGUUUGGACCUGACGGAAUCUCUGCACCUGAAGCGAAGACAUCAGUGGUGUGAACCUGUUGGAGACAACUCUUAUAUGAAAGCAGACACAUCAGAUGAUGGCUGAAGGUAAAAGGCAGAGGAGAAGGCUGAAGCCAGUGGAGGAGGCCAUACAGUUUUCACUUCAACAGAAAGACAAGAAUGGGCUCGAGGGCAGAUUCAUCAGUGAUUUUAAA